Molecule: ribosomal RNA, 497 nt
Filed under: uncultured bacterium
Lineage: Bacteria
Description: partial 16S ribosomal RNA
Rfam family: Bacterial small subunit ribosomal RNA
Source: RNAcentral
GUUGAACGCUGGCGGCGUGCCUAAUACAUGCAAGUCGAGCGAACGGACGAGAAGCUUGCUUCUCUGAUGUUAGCGGCGGACGGGUGAGUAACACGUGGAUAACCUACCUAUAAGACUGGGAUAACUUCGGGAAACCGGAGCUAAUACCGGCUACUAUUUUGAACCGCAUGGUUCAAAAGUGAAAGACGGUCUUGCUGUCACUUAUAGAUGGAUCCGCGCUGCAUUAGCUAGUUGGUAAGGUAACGGCUUACCAAGGCAACGAUGCAUAGCCGACCUGAGAGGAUGAUCGGCCACACUGGAACUGAGACACGGUCCAGACUCCUACGGGAGGCAGCAGUAGGGAACUUUCCGCAAUGGGCGAAAGCCUGACGGAGCAACGCCGCGUGAGUGAUGAAGGUCUUCGGAUCGUAAAACUCUGUUAUUAGGGAAGAACAUAUGUGUAAGUAACUGGGCACAUCUUGACGGUACCGAAUCAGAAAGCCACGGCUAACUACGUG